Molecule: transfer RNA, 77 nt
Filed under: Arcticibacterium luteifluviistationis
Lineage: Bacteria; Pseudomonadati; Bacteroidota; Cytophagia; Cytophagales; Leadbetterellaceae
Description: tRNA-Met
Rfam family: tRNA
About the family: Transfer RNA (tRNA) molecules are approximately 80 nucleotides in length. Their secondary structure includes four short double-helical elements and three loops (D, anti-codon, and T loops).
Source: RNAcentral
GGCGGGGUAGCUCAGUUGGUUAGAGCGUCGGAUUCAUAACCCGGAGGUCAGGAGUUCAACCCUCCUUCCCGCUACAA